This 244-nucleotide long non-coding RNA is filed under the name Phaseolus vulgaris (common bean). RNAcentral describes it as "long non-coding RNA (PVUL_LNC003913)". Lineage: Eukaryota; Viridiplantae; Streptophyta; Magnoliopsida; Fabales; Fabaceae. The record is from RNAcentral.
UGACACUCAAAUUCGGCGCCAACUAGUGCAUGAAGGAAGUGUGACUUUCGUUCCUAGUUUGGCACCUCCUAACUCCUAUCUACACUCCCCCUAGCAUCCCUUACUACUUACACACCUAUUUAUUACAUUCGCACCCCUACUCUAUAAAAGAAAUAAGAAGAGCCAUCUUUUGAUACUCUUGUCCCAAAGCUCUUGCCAUGCUCCUAGUGAUUCGUUGGGCUUGGGCACCUUGUUGGGCUUGGGC